Molecule: long non-coding RNA, 628 nt
Organism: Quercus robur (English oak)
Lineage: Eukaryota; Viridiplantae; Streptophyta; Magnoliopsida; Fagales; Fagaceae
Exons: 3
Source: RefSeq, a predicted model, not a curated record
AACGAAGACUCAAGAAACUCUUUUGCUCCCAUUUCCCACGGAUCAAUGCAAAUCAGAAAUUUGCACCUCACUUUUCUCUCUUUUGUCUCAAGGAAAGUGCUAGGAAGCUCCCUUGAGUCUUUCUCUUGAGUCCAAGGGUUCACACACCAAAAGAAAGAAAAUUCUCUCAACUCUUCUCUCCCUUUCAUUCCCACGGGUCCUAAACCAAAAGAAAGAAAAUUCUCUCAAGCUCUCCACCUCUCAUAAUUUUGGGUCCAGCCACUAGGAAAUGGGGAAAUUCUUCCAUGCAAGAGUGAUUCUAUUUCUCCUUGGAAUCAGAAAUUUGGUGUUACCAGUAUCCAAGUCUAAGCUCCUUCGACUUUAGGCUCUUGGUUCCUCUGCUUUCAGGUAAGGGAUAAGUUAUAUGGGCAUUUGUUAGCAGGUUUUAUUUUGGAGCAGAGGGAGCCUUAGUCGAGUUUUGGAAGGAGCUGGUUUAGUUUUAUAUGUAUAGAUCCUAAAUUAGCAUUCUGACGUUUAGCUUUAUAGUUAUUGUGUAUUUUAGGAUCAAAUGAAAGUUGUGUAUACCAUAAAGUAUCAAGCGAUGUAUUAUGUAAAAGUGUAGAAAUUAAAUGAUUGGUGGAUUAUGUUA